Molecule: unclassified non-coding RNA, 247 nt
Filed under: uncultured Eurotiomycetes
Lineage: Eukaryota; Fungi; Ascomycota; Eurotiomycetes
Description: sequence contains ITS2
Rfam family: 5.8S ribosomal RNA (bases 1-52)
Source: RNAcentral
AACGCAUAUUGCGCCCUUUGGUAUUCCGAAGGGCAUGCCUGUUCGAGCGUCAUUAUCAACCCUCAAGCCUGGCUUGUCAUUGAACCUCUGGUCGUUAAAAGACAGGUUCGAAAGAUAAUGACGGUGUCGCGAUCGACCCUAGAUGCAACGAGCUUCACAGCACGCAUGUUAGUGGCCGGCCGGCCCCGGUCUUAACCCUAUUUCAAUGGUUGACCUCGGAUCAGGUAGGAAUACCCGCUGAACUUAA